RNAcentral lists this long non-coding RNA (1318 nucleotides) under Capra hircus (goat). Its description in RNAcentral is "lncRNA (ENSCHIG00010023178.1)". The record is from RNAcentral. Lineage: Eukaryota; Metazoa; Chordata; Mammalia; Artiodactyla; Bovidae.
AACAACAAAAUUCUGUAAAGCAAUUAUCCUUCAAUUAAAAAAUAAAUGAAAAUUUAAAAAUUGCUUGUCAAGGGCAAAUACAGGUCUUAAAGAUAUUCUCCACAAAUAAUGAAAGCCUUUAUUUAGACAUUGUAGGUUGAUCCACCCAUCCAGCUGCAUAAUAUCUGGUUCUAAAGGGGGUUGUCAUAAUAGAAAGGGCAGUAUGGAUAGUCUUCUGCAGGGGAUAAAUCUCAGUGUUACAAAAAGGAUGUUCAGAGAUAGAUGGAUAGCAGGUAGGAGAACAUUGUGGUGGACAUUCAGAGGAACAGGAAGGAGCAGAGGGAGCUAGCGAGAGCACUCUUAGGACUUCAGAGGAUUUUUCCAAAGUGGAAAUGCUCUGAGAUCCCCAACCAAGCAUCGAAAGUCUUAACCACUGGAUUGCCAGGGAAACCCCACUUACCAAUUCUGUAUGCAGUAGUGUGUAUAUGUUAACCCCAAACUCCUAAUUUAUCUCCCCCCUCUUCCUUUUGAUAACAAUAAGAUUAUUUUCUCUGUUUGUGAGUCUGUUUCUGUUUUCUAAAUAAGUUCAUUUGUAUCCUUUUUUAGAUUCUGCAAAUAAGCUAUAUCAUAUAUUUGUCUUCCUCUGUCUGACUUACUUCACUUGGUAUAAUAAUUUCUACAAACUAGUGAGUUUUGUAUUAUACCUGAUUAAGGACUAAACUUUUAAAAUGAAAACUGUGAGAUCUUGUGUCUGUUUGUGUAGAUAUCUAUGUAUGUACAUUAUAAAUAUAGAUAUGGUGUUUUUUCCUACGUUCAGAUGGUGUUGCUAAAACUAAUUUGUAAAAGAGCUCUAUUUAAUUGGCUUAAAACAAAAAAGCACUGUAUAAAUUGAGUAUAUCCCCUGAUAUAUAACAGAAACUAAGCCAAAUGUUUUUUAGGUUCACAUGAUCUAGAAUUAAUCCACGGUAAAUAAAGCUAAUUUGUUUACUGGCUUAUUCCUAUUGGUCUGCUCUUGAUAAUAAGUGACUGUAAAAGGUAGAGCCUGUUUUGUCAAAAUUGCACCUUAUUUUCUACAUUGUCUUUAUCAGGUCUUUAGUCCUCCGGAUAUUAAAAAAGCUAAAUUUUGCUCAGAACUAUAUAACCUUCUAUGUUUGCCUGUGAAGUCAUUGUUAUUAUUAUUUAAAUGAAUAACUAAGUAUAUUUUCACAAUGACCUAUGAUCCUGUUUGACCAAGUGUUUUGAAAAACUUUGAUAUUUUUGACAGACUUUCCAAAAUGAAAUUCUCAACAAAGUCUUUGUGACUUAGAACUAACUCUGAGAUUUGAAAUAUUUCACAGGG